UUUGUUAUUUCACAUGUCCAUGUAGCUCACGAUGAUGUUGGAAUUCCAGGCGGGUGCUGCCGGACGACGAGAUGGAGCCUGAUCCGGAGGAGAGCCGCAGUCGAGUGACAACGCUAACUUGGAGUGCAUCAAAAGGGACGGUGAUAUUCCAACUCUGCAUCGUUGUGCGAGUGAGCGUCGCUGACACUGCUGGCUAGAGUGGUCUAAUGGCCUGUGUUUUGUCAACAGUUUCAGCCGGGACUCAGUGCUGCUUCUGCUUCCGUGGUUGACGACUCCACUGGCGUGCUGACGUGAACAUCGUGCCGCCGUGACGUCACCUUCAAGAACUAGGCUCACUGCCGAUCCGAUAGCGGACUACAUUUCCCAGAGGCCCCGGUGGUGAUUCGUGCUUAUGACUUUUGAAGUGCCUUAUGGUUCCGAGAUGGGAUUGACUACACGUGUGGUUUUGAGUGGCCAACCCUGAACAUGUCCGCCCCUAUAAGUUUUACCCUCCUGUCUAGAGUGGCGACCCAUGUGUUAUUACAUGAUAAAUAAAUCUGUAUUUUUA
Long non-coding RNA from Alosa sapidissima (American shad), 547 nucleotides. RefSeq lists it as uncharacterized. The transcript has 2 exons. Lineage: Eukaryota; Metazoa; Chordata; Actinopteri; Clupeiformes; Clupeidae. The record is from RefSeq and is a predicted model, not a curated record.